This 497-nucleotide ribosomal RNA is filed under the name uncultured bacterium. Its description in RNAcentral is "partial 16S ribosomal RNA". It matches the Rfam family "Bacterial small subunit ribosomal RNA", at positions 28 to 507 of the family's 1533-position model. The record is from RNAcentral.
GAUGAACGCUGGCGGCGUGCCUAAUACAUGCAAGUCGAGCGAACAGACGAGGAGCUUGCUCCUCUGACGUUAGCGGCGGACGGGUGAGUAACACGUGGAUAACCUACCUAUAAGACUGGGAUAACUUCGGGAAACCGGAGCUAAUACCGGGUAAUAUAUUGAACCGCAUGGUUCAAUAGUGAAAGACGGUUUUGCUGUCACUUAGAGAUGGAUCCGCGCCGCAUUAGCUAGUUGGUAAGGUAACGGCUUACCAAGGCAACGAUGCGUAGCCGACCUGAGAGGGUGAUCGGCCACACUGGAACUGGGACACGGUCCAGACUCCUACGGGAGGCAGCAGUAGGGAAUCUUCCGCAAUGGGCGAAAGCCUGACGGAGCAACGCCGCGUGAGUGAUGAAGGUCUUCGGAUCGUAAAACUCUGUUAUUAGGGAAGAACAAAUGUGUAAGUAACUAUGCACGUCUUGACGGUACCUAAUCAGAAAGCCACGGCUAACUACGUG